AUUAUAYAUGAUGACACAAACCUCUUUCCAUGGAAUUUUUACCGGAAACGCAAGUACACAGAUUACUAAAGAAAAUCAAUGCAAGAAGCAAUCAAAUGAAUCUCGUGGAAGAUGAGAGUUUUCAAAUUCAAAUGAUGACCUUUUYGCCCGUCCUUCGUUUGGGGAGAGUUCAUUAGACAAGGCUUGAAGCGUCCGGGCAGUAUCCCUUGUGACAGAUAUUGUCCUAAUCUCGGCAUUAUCGCCAUGCAGAUCUUCCGUAUCGCGUCGAUAACUUGUCUUGUGUUGUUUUUACAUCUUGUAAUUGGCCACAUGGUAGCCCAAUGCGACGCAGUCAUAGUCGUCAUGAGCAAAGGUCUUGUCAGAAAGCCACAGCCAGCGAGUAACAAACCAUCUACGACAGUAUUACUAACAGAAAAGAUCCGUCGCAACUCAAAAUCAAGARCAAAAAAGAACAGACUGAAAAGGAAGUGGAUCAAGAGCUGGAUUUCGCGGGUACUCAGAAAGAGUGGUGGUUUCCGGUCUAAAGCUGGCGGCGAACAGCACAACAMGACGCACUACCGCAAACGUCCCAACGGUCGCCACUACAAUAAAAACCGUUUGAAGCAAUAGAAAAACUUACUGUGACAUCCAUCUACAGCAUGYUGGUGUAAAAAGCGAGUAUCACGCAUAUCUUAUAGAUAGAAAGCUGCUGAAAUAUGCCCCUCUCUCGUUACAAGAAGGGCUGAGAUUAUACAAGUCCUAWAAGUCUGUGAGACUAUGAUUAGCCAUAGAAGCAUAGAGUGAGGCGAAGAAAAUAAGUGGCCAUAAUGAACAAAGAUUUCCUUAAAAUGACCAUUUAACUUGUUCUAUGAACAACAAAAAACCCUGAUAUUUUAUGCCAUAACAAACAAUAUGUACAGAUAUUGCUUACUGUAUAUUCUGUAUCACAUGUAGUAUCAUGUGAGACUUUGGUUACCACUGACACGAGGCAAAGUCUUUUGACGACACUUACAAGUGUCUUAAUAUUCUUAUUAUAUUUGCACAAAAAACUUC
Exaiptasia diaphana is the source of this 1032-nucleotide long non-coding RNA. RefSeq lists it as uncharacterized. The transcript is spliced from 2 exons. NCBI's taxonomy places the organism in Eukaryota, Metazoa, Cnidaria, Anthozoa, Actiniaria, Aiptasiidae. The record is from RefSeq and is a predicted model, not a curated record.